CCUACGGGAGGCAGCAGUAGGGAAUCUUCCGCAAUGGACGAAAGUCUGACGGAGCAACGCCGCGUGAACGAUGAAGGCCUUCGGGUCGUAAAGUUCUGUUGUUAGGGAAGAACAAGUGCUAGUUAAAUAAGCUGGCACCUUGACGGUACCUAACCAGAAAGCCACGGCUAACUACGUGCCAGCAGCCGCGGUAAUACGUAGGUGGCAAGCGUUGUCCGGAAUUAUUGGGCGUAAAGCGCGCGCAGGCGGUUUCUUAAGUCUGAUGUGAAAGCCCCCGGCUCAACCGGGGAGGGUCAUUGGAAACUGGGAAACUUGAGUGCAGAAGAGGAAAGUGGAAUUCCAAGUGUAGCGGUGAAAUGCGUAGAGAUUUGGAGGAACACCAGUGGCGAAGGCGACUUUCNGGUCUGUAACUGACGCUGAGGCGCGAAAGCGUGGGGAGCAAACAGGAUUAGAUACCCUGGUAGUCCACGCUGUAAACGAUGAGUGCUAAGUGUUAGAGGGUUUCCGCCCUUUAGUGCUGAAGUUAACGCAUUAAGC
This 537-nucleotide ribosomal RNA is filed under the name uncultured bacterium. RNAcentral's name for it is "bacterial SSU rRNA". It matches the Rfam family "Bacterial small subunit ribosomal RNA", at positions 338 to 865 of the family's 1533-position model. The record is from RNAcentral.